This 253-nucleotide ribosomal RNA is filed under the name uncultured bacterium. RNAcentral describes it as "partial 16S ribosomal RNA". It matches the Rfam family "Bacterial small subunit ribosomal RNA", at positions 524 to 776 of the family's 1533-position model. The record is from RNAcentral.
UACGUAGGGUGCGAGCGUUAAUCGGAAUUACUGGGCGUAAAGCGUGCGCAGGCGGUGAUGUAAGACCGAUGUGAAAUCCCCGGGCUUAGCCUGGGAACUGCAUUGGUGACUGCAUUGCUGGAGUAUGGCAGAGGGGGGUGGAAUUCCACGUGUAGCAGUGAAAUGCGUAGAGAUGUGGAGGAACACCGAUGGCGAAGGCAGCCCCGUGGGCCAAUACUGACGCUCAUGCACGAAAGCGUGGGGAGCAAACAGG